CCGGCCGCUUGCUGGCUUCCUGCAUUUCCCAAGGAAAGAAGGCUUUUUUUUCCCCUCAGUACUGUAAAAGGGCGGAAACAGACAGAGAUGAAAACUCACUAUGCUGCCCAGACUCGUCUCGAACUCCUGGGUGUCACGCGUGUCCGUAUAGAAGACCACCUAAACAGGCUUUGUGUUCACGUGUUGAAAUCCUAACUCCAAAUAUGAUGAUAGGAGGAGAUGGGGCCUUCGGGAGGUGAUGAGGUCAUGAGGGUGGAAUCCUCAUGAAUGGUCUCAACGCCCUUAGAAAAGAGACCCCAGAGACCUCGCUCCCGCUUUCUACUGUGGGAGAAUGCAGCAAGAAGUCAGCCGUCUAUGAACAAGGAAGCAGGUCCUCUCCAGGCACUGAAUGUACCAGUGCCUUGAUCUUGGACUUCCCAGCCUCCAGAACUAUGACAAUAAAUUCUGUUGUUUAAGCUACAUGGUCUAUGAUACUUUUGUUAAAGAAGCCCAAAGUGACUAAGACAGGCAUCAAACAAUAUAUUGUCCUUUGUGAUGGAUCCUUUCACUUUGCAUAAUGUUUUCAAGGUCUAUCCAUUUUAUACCACAUAACAGCACCUCCUUUGCUUUCAUGGCUGAAUAAUAUUCCACCGUAUGGAGACACCACGUAUUCUCUGUCCA
Molecule: long non-coding RNA, 660 nt
Filed under: Homo sapiens (human)
Lineage: Eukaryota; Metazoa; Chordata; Mammalia; Primates; Hominidae
Description: HSALNT0398384
Source: RNAcentral